GGAAUAAAUGGAACUUUUGGAUUGGGACCUUAGGACCUAGGUUAGGCCCUAGGCUUAGGUCCUAGGUUUAGGCAAUAAGCUUAGGCCCUAGGCUUAAGCUCUGUGCUUAGGUCAUAAGCUUAGGCCCUAGGCUUAGGCUCUAGACU
Molecule: non-coding RNA, 146 nt
Organism: Caenorhabditis elegans
Lineage: Eukaryota; Metazoa; Nematoda; Chromadorea; Rhabditida; Rhabditidae
Source: Ensembl